Long non-coding RNA from Asparagus officinalis (garden asparagus), 1084 nucleotides. RefSeq lists it as uncharacterized. The record is from RefSeq and is a predicted model, not a curated record. The transcript has 3 exons. NCBI's taxonomy places the organism in Eukaryota, Viridiplantae, Streptophyta, Magnoliopsida, Asparagales, Asparagaceae.
CCCUCCUCCUCUCAUCCUCGUUCGAGCUCUCUCGCCGCCUCCCUCCCUGUCUCAUCACUAAAACUAGGGCCACCCUCACUCCGUCUCUCGUCGCCAAAACCAUCGCCGCCCUCCUCCUAGGGAUCUCGAGAUGGAAUCGCCCAAGAUUACAGAGUCUCCGGUUGAUAAAAUAUGUGAAUCUGCGACGGCGGCGACUAGGGUUCAGAAAGUCUACAGGAGUUAUCGGACCCGGCACAGGUUAGCAGACUCCGCUGUGGUCGUGGAGGAGCUCUGGUUGGACAGGGUUUGUCAAAAGAUUCCAAAGCCCUAAAGCUCGCGUUUCAGCACUGGAUUGAAGCUAUUGAUCCAAGGCAUCGCUAUGGGCAUAAUCUGCACAUGUACUACGAUAAAUGGUGUGAAAGUGAUGCUGGCCAGCCAUUCUUUUACUGGUAAUCUCCUAAUUUUUCAUUUUUUUGCUCAAAUUAUUCGAUGGUAAUACUUGUAUCAUCAGUGUGAAAUAUUUUGGCCUAUGUACUUGUGAGCUUUCCAAAUUAAACCUUUUUCACACCAAGGCAUACUUUUUUGAGUCCAGCGUGAGUUUUUCUGUAAAGUCUUCUCUUUGUGGUCAAGUAGCGUCCCUUUUUUAUUUCUGAGAUCAACUAGUUGUAUUGUUGUCCUUAGGAAAAAGCAAUGUUUUGAUUGUUUUAAGCAAGACGGGUGCUUUUAGGGAUGUUUUAAUAUGAUUAUAUGAGUGCUUUUACCUUUGUUCUCAACUUAGGAUUUGAUUAUUUACUGAUAUAGAAGGAUAAAGUUUGGUAGUCCUGGAUCUAGGCACGCUUGCCCUUUCACUGUGGCCCUUGGUGUUUGGUUAUUUUGGUCUCCUGCUCUUGCAGCUAUUUUCCGGCUGGCUUUGCUCGCCACUCCUCCGGUGCUGCUACAUUUUAUCCUCCUCUACAUUGAAAGGUAUGUGAGUUGUUUUGGAUUAAUAUCAUCAAAAACUACGUGAUCCGCAAUUGUUCAACUAAGAGGGUUAAAGUAUAUACAUAAAAGGUUGACUAACGUUCAUGAUUAAUGUUGUAUCUCUAAAGUUGUUUUGGAUCAAUAU